This is a long non-coding RNA of Nycticebus coucang (slow loris), 607 nucleotides long. RefSeq lists it as uncharacterized. The record is from RefSeq and is a predicted model, not a curated record. Lineage: Eukaryota; Metazoa; Chordata; Mammalia; Primates; Lorisidae. The transcript has 2 exons.
GCCAGCCAACGCGGAGCCUCUUCGCCGAAUUUCCACCCCGGGUGGACGCGCAGCACCCUGGGCUGUGUGGUCCUCCGGGAGUCACCAGCGGUUGCUGGGCUUCCACUUCCCCCGGCGCCCGGCAGCCAACCCUUCCUCCGUGGGCGGCGGAGUCCGGAGAAGCCUGCCAGUAUUUAAACUUCUUCCUGCGAAUGACAUUUCCCCAAAGGCUGGCAAAACUGUCUCCCGAAGCCACCGAGCUGGGUCCACUGUCCCCAAGUCGGUCCUGCAUGCCCCUUGGGAAUAGUGUUGGAGUAGUCCUCUGCCCUCGGGAAAAUUACCAAACACAGUGAUAGCAAAAUAAAUUGACCCUUUGAUGGCCUUGUGCUGAGGGUUUUGCUUGCAUUAUCUCAUGCACUCUUCUCAACUCUAAUAGAUCAAGCCUGCAGUACCUCUUUCCUGAACGAUUGCAAUGGACUUCUAGAUGGAUUCCCUGCUGCCCUACUCGACACGGCUAUCAGAAUUGGCAUUCAAGAACAUCUGCAAACUCCAAAUCUGGACACUUCCCCUCUUUAUUCUGCCUUUCCCUCAAAUCCUAUGUGAGAACUAAAUAAAUUUUCAUCCUGUG